Molecule: ribosomal RNA, 305 nt
Filed under: uncultured bacterium
Lineage: Bacteria
Description: bacterial SSU rRNA
Rfam family: Bacterial small subunit ribosomal RNA
Source: RNAcentral
AGGCCUACGGGAGGCAGCAGUAGGGAAUCUUCCACAAUGGGCGAAAGCCUGGUGGAGCAACGCCGCGUGGGUGAAGAAGGUCUUCGGAUCGUAAAACCCUGUUGUUAGAGAAGAAAGGGCGUGAGAGUAACUGUUCACGUUUCGACGGUAUCUAACCAGAAAGCCACGGCUAACUACGUGCCAGCAGCCGCGGGAAUACGUAGGUGGCAAGCGUUAUCCGGAUUUAUUGGGCGUAAAGGGAACGCAGGUGGUCUUUUAAGUCUGAUGUGAAAGCCUUCGGCUUAACAGGAGUAGUGAAUUGGAAA